CGUUGGUCAAGGGGUUAAGACACCGCCUUUUCACGGCGGUAACACGGGUUCGAAUCCCGUACGUCCA
This 67-nucleotide transfer RNA is filed under the name Streptococcus agalactiae BSU167. RNAcentral's name for it is "tRNA-Glu". It matches the Rfam family "tRNA", at positions 5 to 66 of the family's 71-position model. From Rfam's summary of the family: Transfer RNA (tRNA) molecules are approximately 80 nucleotides in length. Their secondary structure includes four short double-helical elements and three loops (D, anti-codon, and T loops). Lineage: Bacteria; Bacillati; Bacillota; Bacilli; Lactobacillales; Streptococcaceae. The record is from RNAcentral.